Molecule: ribosomal RNA, 541 nt
Filed under: uncultured bacterium
Lineage: Bacteria
Description: bacterial SSU rRNA
Rfam family: Bacterial small subunit ribosomal RNA
Source: RNAcentral
AGAGUUUGAUUCUGGCUCAGGAUGAACGCUGGCGGCGUGCUUAACACAUGCAAGUCGAACGGGGUGCCUUUGAAAGAGGAUUCGUCCAAUUGAGAAGGUUACCUAGUGGCGGACGGGUGAGUAACGCGUGAGUAACCUGCCUUGGAGUGGGGAAUAACACAUCGAAAGAUGUGCUAAUACCGCAUAAUGCAGUUGGGCCGCAUGGCUCUGACUGCCAAAGAUUUAUCGCUCUGAGAUGGACUCGCGUCUGAUUAGCUGGUUGGCGGGGUAACGGCCCACCAAGGCGACGAUCAGUAGCCGGACUGAGAGGUUGACCGGCCACAUUGGGACUGAGACACGGCCCAGACUCCUACGGGAGGCAGCAGUGGGGAAUAUUGGGCAAUGGGCGCAAGCCUGACCCAGCAACGCCGCGUGAAGGAAGAAGGCUUUCGGGUUGUAAACUUCUUUUAUCAGGGACGAAGCAAGUGACGGUACCUGAUGAAUAAGCCACGGCUAACUACGUGCCAGCAGCCGCGGUAAUACGUAGGUGGCAAGCGUUAUC